UACGUUUGUAGUUAUAUUGCCUGCAAUAUUCCGUUUUUUCAUUAUUCACUUACCAACUAUAGGAUUCAAGUACAUCUGUGGUGAGGAAGAGAGACGUGGCUCUGAGAUGCCUCAUCGAAUACAUGGGAGAGAGUGGGCAAAAGCUGAUCUCUGACUACUAUAUGUGGUGGGCAUCAUCAUUGAGGGCAUCCCUGUGCUUACUCGUCUUGGAAACCACGCCAGGGCUAUGAACUUGCAGUUUUCACCACAACUCAGCAAAACAUUUCAGGUGUUUCAAAGACAUUUUGUGGGACUUGACACACAGCGUCCAAAGUCUUCCUCCUGAUUCAUGACAUAAAAACUUCUGAGUUAGUUAAUUAGUUGCCGCUCAGAGGUUCUGUUUCUUUGCUUCAUCACUUUUGUUCAAUGGACAGUUUGACUUGGAACAAUGUGGUAGUCACGCACCGACUUCUUCAGUUUCUGGAUAAGUCUGCAGCAAAUAUGGGCAUUUGAUUUGCUUUUGUAUAUAUGGGGCAAAGUUUGUUUUGUUAUGUCAAAUGCUGAGAUCAGAGGCACUUUAUUUUUUUUAUUUCAAUGUUGUAGUACAUAUGAAAAUGUACUGUACUGUGCAC
Molecule: non-coding RNA, 611 nt
Organism: Danio rerio (zebrafish)
Lineage: Eukaryota; Metazoa; Chordata; Actinopteri; Cypriniformes; Danionidae
Source: Ensembl